GGAGCGUGUAGCUCAGUGGUAGAGUGCACGUUCAGAAUGCGUGAGGUCCUGGGUUCAAUCCCCAGCACCUCCA
Molecule: non-coding RNA, 73 nt
Organism: Vicugna pacos (alpaca)
Lineage: Eukaryota; Metazoa; Chordata; Mammalia; Artiodactyla; Camelidae
Source: the annotation of a RefSeq genome assembly